CAAACUGUUAAUCUUCAAUACCCCUUUGUACUUACGAUCUUGUAUCCACUGACUGUCCUGUUAGAUUAACCCAAUAAAUUUCAUUCACUCCGCAUACUCAAUCCUAUAGACACCCCUUUAAUCCUUCAAUCACAGACGUAACUCGAUUUUACAAAACAGUCAAGAGUAUUCAACCCCACUUCAUUUAAAAAUCCCGAUUCACCAUUACAACACUGACUUCAACAGCGAUUGCCUCAGUCUUCCCAAAACUCUAUGAAGAAGAAAAAUCCAAAUUCUAUGUCUUUCCUUCCCCGACCCGAAGCAUGAAGCUCCUCUCUCUAAUUCCCUUGAUCUUCAAAAACCUCCAAUGAAACCCGAACUGGUAACCUUGCAAAAGCUUGAAAAACUCGCUCCCUCCCCCCGAUUCCCCGAAAAAAAAAACCCCCCCUCCUCAAAACUAUAUUCUCCCCUAACCUUAUCCUCUGAAUUUCUUCAAUCUUCCAUCUUAGAUCCGGAAUUGGCUCCCGCCGUCAGAGCUUAGAUCCGAAAUUGGCUCACGUCAUCAAGGCCUUCUCCUUCGUUUUUACCUUUAAGAGAUCCAUUUAUCGUAAACAACGUUCCCUGAAACGGCACAGAGAACAGGACAGCCCGAAACAGAAUCGAAACCCCGUAAUCGGGACCACAUUGAGUCGCCCGACCAAUUCAGGUCCUAUAUUGGGAAAGAUGCCCGUAGUAACCUGGAUGUUCCCGUAAUUGGGUCACAUUGAGUCGCCCGACCAAUUCAGGUCCUAUAUUGGGAAAGAUACCCGUAGUAACCUGGAUGUUCCCGUAAUUGGGUCAAAUUGGUCCUCGCGUCAGAUUGGCUAAGACCCGUAGUAAGACCUGGAUUUUUCGUAAUUAGACCACAUUGGGUUGACCGGCCAAUUCAGGUCUCAUAUUGGAUAAGAGGACCCGGAUUGGAUUAUCGAAAUUGGAUCCAAUUGGCUCCUCGAACCCGUCGUGUGAAUUGGUCCUUCUCUUCCUGCUGACUCCCGUUAUUGGAAUCGAAUGGAACAUUUCAGUAUGCCCCGGCUGACUGUAACGGAGUGACUGAACCUGACCACUCAGUAUUUGUACUGGAGUUGGUCGAUGCUCCCAUUAUUCGAGGUAACUGAAUAUUAAUAAAAUACCCCAUUUUUUUUAUUUUCACUGUAUACUCGUGUUACAACACGACAUCCACCCCCUCUGAACCUGUGCAUCCUCCGGUAUGCACCAAUUUACCCAAUUGCUGUUUGAUUCAGAAUAUAUCCCCUACGUCUUUGUCCAGUUCGUCUUCGUCACCUUCAUUUUCCAAAUCACUUUCAUCUUCUUGCUGCGGAAUCUCUGUACCUUCAUUAAGGUCUUCCAUAUUCAUCUCCGCGUGUCUUCAUUUAAAUAUUUUUACUCGCUUCCCUGCAAUUGGUAUUUUUAAUUUUGUACCAUCUAACUCCCGUAAUGAGUAAGUCGCAUUAUCAUGAACAUUUGUUACAAUAUAUGGUCCAAACCAACGUUUUGAAAACUUCCGCAAAGUACUAUGUUGAUUAUCUAGACUAUUGUCAUAAACAAGUACCCUGUCACCUUCCUCGAUUGCUUUUGGUCUCAAUCGAUGUUGCUUAUCGAAUCGUGCCUUGUUUUGUAACCUUGCUCUUUUUAACCUUUCCAAUGCUAUCUGGACAUCUUCCGUUCUUUGCUCCAAUUGUCGAAUCCUAAUAGCCAGAAGUUCUUGUCUUGUCAAUCCAUCUUCCCAUGGUAGCAUACUCCAAGUAAGUACCUUUUCUUCAAUCGGCAUAAUUGGUUUUUGACCUGUCAUAAGUUCUACUGGCAUAUAUCCUGUCACCGAACUAUGUGUUGUUCGAUCAGCCCAUAAUGCAAAUGACAAAAGCCGUGGCCAGUCUUUAACCUUCCCAUUACAAGCUUUAACCAAUGCUUUCACAAUCGGCGGGUGACCACGUUCGCUUUUCGCAUUCCCUUCCGGAUUAUAAGCAGUAGUCAGUGAUAGUUUAACUCCACAUUUUUCAAAGAACUUACGAGCUUCUUGUGCAUUUAAUUCUCCACGAUCUGCAGUGAUUUUUCCUACGCACCCGUAACGGCAAAUGACAUCUUCAAGCAAAAACCUACAAAUCCCCUCUGUAGAUUUUGUCCUCAAUGCUCUUCCUUCUACUUGAUUUGAUAAAUCUUCACGAGCUAAAACCAAAUAUCUCAUCUGCCAUAACCCAAUCGGAAUAAUAACCAAAUCAACAAUCCAUUUAAAAUGAAUAGCCAGAGGAUACGUAGGAUGAAGACCAUCUCGAUGUCGGAUAUUAGAAUACGAUUGACAGAUUUCACAUGACUCUACAAAUGAGAGCACAUCUCGAUACAUAUUUUUCCACCAAUAUCGUUCCUUGAGUUUAGCAAAAGUAGCUCAGAUUCCUCUAUGCCCUGCCCAUAAACUAUCAUGAAACUCUUUUAAUAAUUUUAGUUUUUCUUCCCUUUUGCCUAUCACUCGUUGUGGCAUCCCAAUUCCUUUCUUCGGUCUCUUCCAUAAGAAUCCAUCUCGAAGUAAAAAUCCAUAUGUUUUUUUUCUUAUUUGUUUGAAUUUUUCUGUAGACCAAUUCCCCUGCUUAGACAAGGUAUUCAAAUAAUGACCAAUAUCCAAUAAUUCUCCUUCAUAAGUUUCUUCAAGAAAUAGCUUGUCUUCUCUGUUGAGAUUCGAUAUUGAAUAGAAUUUCAAUCUGACAUCAUCAAUGUCUUCAACCGUUUCGUCCUCUCUCUUGUAUCUUGCUCGAGAUAGCAUGUCUGCUACUAAAUUGUCCUUUCCAGUGAUAUACUUAAAUUUUGGAUUUAGUGACUUAAUAUAAGCAAUCCAUCUCAACAUUGCAAUAUCUGGCAUUGAACAGUUAAUAAUCAUUCCAAGCAAUGGCAAGCAAUUUGUUUCAAUUACUACUACUGCCCCAAUCAAAUAGUCCUUUUCAGCUUUCAUAGCCGAAACGACUCCCCAAAGUUCUCUUUUGACUUGCGAAUAUGCACGCUGACGAAUACUUAAAACUUUAGCCCCAAAUCGAACUGCAAAUCUACUCCCAUUCGAAUCAUCUUGACCCACAGCCCAUCCAACGGCAAUUGGACUAGCGUCUACAGUAAGAAUCACUGGUCUAUUGCACUUAUAAUCAACCUUCCUCAAUAUUGGAGGUGACAUCAAUAAUUUCUUCAAUCUUUGCAUUGCCUGAAUAUGCCUUUCUUUCCAUUCAAAUCGGUAACCCUUGCGUAACAGUUCAUAUAAUAGAUCUGCUAUGUGAGCAAAAUGAGGGAUCCAGAUUCGAUAAAAUACACAUGCACCCAAAAACCUGCGAACCUCUGUUAAAGAACCACAAUCCUCUGUUAAAUGUCCAACAAUUACAACCUCUCGCACUCCAAAUACGGACUUCAUACCCGAUAAUGUAAGAUGAACUUCUCCAAGCCGAGUUAAAAUCUUUUCACAAUCUUGUAUAUGAUCAACAACAUAUUUGCGACACCCCCUCGUAUCUAAAGUUUCAUCCUUGUCUCCUUCUCUGCACCCUUUUAUAGGAACAUCAUCCAGAAAAGGCAUAGUCUUUUCCGGAAUAAAAUCUCUCAAUACCUUAUUCAUCCCAUUCAUCAUAUGUGCAACUGAGUUGGUCGCGCCUUGAGGAAGAGUGCACAUUCUAACCAAUCCAAGCGGUGUCCUCAUCGUUGUCAUAUCUCUACUUCCUUCGGCAAGUUGAAAUUGAUCAUAACCUGAAUACAAAUCACCCAUUGAAUAGAUCGCCCUUCCAGCAAACGCCUCAGCAAAUUCAUCCACAAUAGGUCCAAUUCCUGUAUUCCUGACAGUUACAGCAUUCACCGGCUGCAUAUCUUGAAUAAACCACAGUGACCCAUUCUUCUUAGGUACCGUAAACCAUCGACUAGAAUACGGCGCAAAUGAAGGUUCUAAUAUUUUCAUCUUUAUCUUUUCUUUCAAUAGUUCCACCAAUUUAGGUAAAUGUGCCCUUGGUACUGGAAUCGGUCUUAGAUUCCAAGGUACAUGCGGUACAGUGAAAAUAACCAUAGGUGUUAUAAUAUUUGGAUCCACACACCCAAUUUCAUGAGAUUCGAAGGCAAACGAUCUACCUUGUUUAGCCAACAUCUUUUUGAAGCAAGUAAUUUCCUCCGGCAAUAAAGAACCAUCAGAACCAAUCUUCAAUUCUUCAAAAGUCUCUUCAGUAAACUGAUGUCCAAUACUCAUUGGAUCUCUUAAACUUGCUUCUUUUGAUGCUUCUUCCAUUUGUUCUUUAGAAUCCUCUGGUAAUGGUCCGGCAACAGGCUUUACCUUCUUAUCUGCCGUUUUAUAUCUUGUCUCUACUGUGACUUCUGGUGCUUGAAAAGAUUCAAGCAUGGUAUAAACCUCUCUCGAAUGAAUCUCAACAAUCUUAUCAUUAUCCCCUAACCCAAUAGAUGUAAUCAAUUCCAAUGAAUCUUCCAGCCCAUUUUCUUCAUAAACACCCAAAAUCCUCUCAUCAUCUUGCAAUGUACCUAUCUUGCGUAACUGUCCUUCAAUAUCAUAUAAUCUUUUUCUUUCUUUUCUUUUAAAAUCAUCAACUUUCUUAUACAUAAUAUUUCCAUUCUCCAAUAUACCAAUAAAACUCGCAUCAAAGGCACCUUCAUCUCGCGAGAGUACCUCCUCUUUUGUACCUCCAUAAUCUCGCUUUACAGUGGUACCUCCCCAAAAUCCUUAAAUCCUUCAACAAUCUUUGGCAAUGGUUUCUCCCUCAACCUAUCUCGAUUCCAUUCAUGGUUAGGAGGUACUGUUAGAAAUUGUACAGCUUUCCUCCCAUCCUCGCUACGUACCCUCGCAUAAGCAGAACCAUCGUCAAGUACCUUUGUUUCCAUCCGUGUUGCCGUGAUAUAAGGUUGUCCUAAAAUCAACGGAUAAGACAUUGUAUCUUGAACGAAGAAAUGUUGCUCUGUAGCAACAUCCCCAAUCCAAAUUUUGACAUCUGGACAAGCUCCAUAUAAUUCGCCUCGUGUGUUAAUAGCCGCUCGUAUUGCCCAUCCAUGUUCCAUAUCAAUUGGCCAUUUUUGCUUCUUAUAAAGAUCUUUAGACAUGAGAUUUAUUUCAGAACCAUGGUCCACCAAGGCAACUAUUGGUUCUUCUAUAUCUCCUACCUUCACCAAUACCUCAGUAGUUGUCCUUGCCCAAUGCUUUCGAAUAUAAUGGCUCAAAGUUUCCAUUUCCUUAUCACUAGAAUCUUCGAAAUGUACUCAUUGAUUAUACCCAUUCUUUUCAUUUGUUGGUUGCUUGUAACCAAUAUCAACCUCUUCUUCAUCUCUACAUAUUCUUGCAUCAAUAGCAUGACUCAUUCCAGUUUCGCUCAUUAAUUGCCUCUUUCGCUUAAUGCUGUCAAUGAUAACAUCAUGAAACUCCUUCUUUGCAAUUCCCAAGACUUCUUUCAACGUAAAUUCCACCUUAGCAUUUAAUAUACGUUCUUCCAACACCCCUUUCAAAUUUGUUGCCGCUUCAAUGUCAGAAAGUAGCUUAUAAGCAAUUGAUUUGCCCUUAUCUUUUGUCUCCGUUGUUUUUUCUCCCAAUGAUGCUGAGGUAUCCUUUACAGGUAAUUCUUGUGAAGCUGCCUCCCGAGCCUUGUCUCCUCGAGUUUGCCUCUUAAAAGAAUUUCCUUCUCUAGUAUCAUUAAAAUUUCCUCGUCUUUUUUCUUCCAUCAAAGCUUCAUGUUGGCUCUUAGCAAUAUAUGCAUGAACUGAAAGAGACUCAACAGGAUCCUCCCAACCUGUUCUUCCUCGUAUUGUAGCUGCAGUUCUCAAUAACGCUUCUCGAGGUAAUUUUCCUUCUUGCAUUGUAGAAACGGUAGAAGCCCAAAAUUCACUAGUUUCCGUACUUCUACCAAUUUCAUCAUCUACUGUAGCACCAUAACUUACACUUCUUCGUGCUGUUGUUUCAUACUCUUUUAGGUAAUCUUGAACCAAUGCUCUCAUUCCUCCCUUGCCAAAAUUGGUUUGAAGAAGAUCCUCUCUAUUUUUCAAUGCUAUCUUCCCAUCUUUCCAGCAAAUAAUUCCCUGCCGUAUCAUAUUAUUAAAUUCAUUGCAAUCUUUUCUAGUGUGUAAAGCAUCAUCACACCAAAUGCAUCUUUGUACAUAUCCUUGUUUUGAAACAUUCUUCGAAUUGUUUAUAGAAGUAUUCUCUUCAAGUCUUGCCAAUUUGAUUUGAAGAUCUCGCAUUUCUCGUAUAAUUUCUUCCAUACCCAUAUCUGCUUUCUUUGACAAGGAUGUCGAAGGUUGAACUGUAGGCAUUGUCGGUGGUGUUGUACGUACUGGAGCUUUGGGUGCUUGUACUGUUUUCGGAAUAUUGCUCCUAUCCUUCCUCCUUUCUUUUUUUGUAAGCAACUCCACCGCAUCUUCAACGUUCUUUCACUUCGUUGUCAAUCCUUCAUCUUCUUCUUUGUCUUCAAGAAGGGGUUCUAAUUUCUCUUGCAAUUCUCCAUCAGCAGCUUGAAGAAAUAGAUCAACUUUGUUCGGCUCCAAUGUCAAUUUUUCUACCUUCGAUAAUUGAGAGUACUACCUCUCAAAUUGCCUUAGUAGCUCUGUUGCUUGCAAAUUCUUAUUGGGCCGUUCAAUCCAUCCCAGAAACAGCUUCUUAGUAACGCGAUCAGCAUCUUCCAAGAAAUAUUCGUCUUUCAAUGCAUGUGAAAAAUCCUCCCAUGAAUUCCCACAAUGAUCCGUAAUCGAUGUAAUGUGGUCCCUUAUCUCCGGUAUCGUGGCAAGUCCAAAUAGUGCAACCAUUUUCUUCUCAGAAACUCGAUUUAAUUCCAUUUCACGAACAUAACAUCUUAAAUACCUUGAAAUAUUCCUCCCAUCAAAUUGAUCAAUUUUAUUGACCACUGCUUACAAUGCUUUGGUUGCCAAAGCUUCCUUUCGAUCAUUGCUUUGCUGUUGCUGCAUUGACAAUGAGAAGGCUUGAAACAAACUAGCAAUAGACGGAUCCAUGUGCAUACCUUGUCCUUUAGAAGACUCUCCACUAGAAACUUCUCCCAAAAAUCCUUCAAAAUUUUUAUUUUCGUUUUUCAUAAAAAUAAAGAUAAAAUCAACCGAAAUCCAAUACCUUCUACCUCAAGCUUUCACGUCGAAUUCACCACUUAUGUCGUAUUACGUACCUUCCUGCUCGAGAACGCGCCGGGCGUCUGGCUAUAGAAGGUAGUAUGGAGAUUCACCGAUAGUCAAGCAGUCUAUCAGUUUUUGACUGCUAGAAUAUAAACGACUACAACAAUGUACCGUAAAUCUAUACGGAUGCUCUUCGACUGCUUGUCGAAGUCUUUUUUUUGCCCCAGCCGAUAGGUCUCUAGACGUUACAGAGAACCCCGAACAACCCAAACUGUUAAUCUUCAAUACCCCUUUGUACUUACGAUCUUGUAUCCACUGACUGUCCUGUUAGAUUAACCCAAUAAAUUUCAUUCACUCCGCAUACUCAAUCCUAUAGACACCCCUUUAAUCCUUCAAUCACAGACGUAACUCGAUUUUACAAAACAGUCAAGAGUAUUCAACCCCACUUCAUUUAAAAAUCCCGAUUCACCAUUACAACACUGACUUCAACAGCGAUUGCCUCAGUCUUCCCAAAACUCUAUGAAGAAGAAAAAUCCAAAUUCUAUGUCUUUCCUUCCUCGACCCGAAGCAUGAAGCUCCUCUCUCUAAUUCCCUUGAUCUUCAAAAACCUCCAAUGAAACCCGAACUGGUAACC
RNAcentral lists this long non-coding RNA (7714 nucleotides) under Physcomitrium patens. Its description in RNAcentral is "long non-coding RNA (PPAT_LNC006300)". Lineage: Eukaryota; Viridiplantae; Streptophyta; Bryopsida; Funariales; Funariaceae. The record is from RNAcentral.